AGAGUUUGAUCCUGGCUCAGGAUGAACGCUGGCGGCGUGCUUAACACAUGCAAGUCGAACGAAGCACCUUGAUUUGAUUCUUCCGAUGAAGAUCUUGGGGACUGAGUGGGGGACGGGGUGAGUAACGCGUGGGUAACCUGCCUCAUACAGGGGGAUAACAGUUAGAAAUGACUGCUAAUACCGCAUAAGACCACAGCACCGCAUGGUGCAGGGGUAAAAACUCCGGUGGUAUGAGAUGGACCCGCGUCUGAUUAGGCAGUUGGUGGGGUAACGGCCUACCAAGCCGACGAUCAGUAGCCGACCUGAGAGGGUGACCGGCCACAUUGGGACUGAGACACGGCCCAAACUCCUACGGGAGGCAGCAGUGGGGAAUAUUGCACAAUGGGGGAAACCCUGAUGCAGCGACGCCGCGUGAGCGAUGAAGUAUUUCGGUAUGUAAAGCUCUAUCAGCAGGGAAGAAAAUGACGGUACCUGACUAAGAAGCACCGGCUAAAUACGUGCCAGCAGCCGCGGUAAUACGUAUGGUGCAAGCGUUAUCCGGAUUUACUGGGUGUAAAGGGAGCGUAGACGGAGUGGCAAGUCUGAUGUGAAAACCCGGGGCUCAACCCCGGGACUGCAUUGGAAACUGUCAAUCUAGAGUACCGGAGAGGUAAGCGGAAUUCCUAGUGUAGCGGUGAAAUGCGUAGAUAUUAGGAGGAACACCAGUGGCGAAGGCGGCUUACUGGACGGUAACUGACGUUGAGGCUCGAAAGCGUGGGGAGCAAACAGGAUUAGAUACCCUGGUAGUCCACGCCGUAAACGAU
This 803-nucleotide ribosomal RNA is filed under the name uncultured bacterium. Its description in RNAcentral is "bacterial SSU rRNA". It matches the Rfam family "Bacterial small subunit ribosomal RNA", at positions 8 to 810 of the family's 1533-position model. The record is from RNAcentral.